This is a non-coding RNA of Deltaproteobacteria bacterium GWB2_55_19, 73 nucleotides long. The record is from Rfam. Lineage: Bacteria; Deltaproteobacteria.
GGGCCGCUAGCUCAGUUGGUAGAGCAGCUGACUCUUAAUCAGCGGGUCGCUGGUUCGAUCCCAGCGCGGCCCA